This 67-nucleotide transfer RNA is filed under the name Geomys texensis. RNAcentral describes it as "tRNA-Lys". Lineage: Eukaryota; Metazoa; Chordata; Mammalia; Rodentia; Geomyidae. The record is from RNAcentral.
CAUUAUGAAGCUAAUUUAGCGUUAACCUUUUAAGUUAAAGAUAGGGUUUUUCAACACCCCAUAGUGA